AAAGCCCAAGGUUUCCUUGCGCAACGUUAAUCGGCGCAGGGUGAGUCGGCCCCUAAGGCGAGGCAGAGAUGCGUAGCUGAUGGGAAACAGGUCAAUAUUCCUGUACCGAUCAAUAGUGCGAUGUGGGGACGGAGAAGGUUAGCUCAGCCAACUGUUGGAUAUGUUGGUUCAAGCCUGUAGUCGUGCCUGGUAGGCAAAUCCGCCGGGCUUAGAUGAGGGGUGAUAACGAGGCUGCUUGCAGCCGAAGUGAGUGAUACCCUGCUUCCAGGAAAAGCCACUAAGCUUCAGCUAUUGACGACCGUACCGCAAACCGACACUGGUGCGCGAGAUGAGUAUUCUAAGGCGCUUGAGAGAACUCAGGAGAAGGAACUCGGCAAAUUGACACCGUAACUGAGGGA
RNAcentral lists this ribosomal RNA (398 nucleotides) under Ochromonas sp. CCMP1393. RNAcentral describes it as "partial Bacterial large subunit ribosomal RNA". It matches the Rfam family "Bacterial large subunit ribosomal RNA", at positions 1340 to 1741 of the family's 2925-position model. Lineage: Eukaryota; Chrysophyceae; Chromulinales; Chromulinaceae. The record is from RNAcentral.